UACGUAGGGGGCGAGCGUUGUCCGGAUUUAUUGGGCGUAAAGAGCGCGUAGGCGGUCUAUUAAGUCAGAUGUGAAAACUCCCGGCUCAACUGGGAGACUGCAUUUGAAACUGGUAGGCUAGAGUCCAGCAGAGGGAAGUGGAAUUCCAAGUGUAGCGGUGAAAUGCGCAGAUAUUUGGAAGAACACCAGUGGCGAAGGCGGCUUCCUGGACUGCGACUGACGCUGAGGCGCGAAAGCUAGGGGAG
RNAcentral lists this ribosomal RNA (245 nucleotides) under uncultured bacterium. RNAcentral's name for it is "partial 16S ribosomal RNA". It matches the Rfam family "Bacterial small subunit ribosomal RNA", at positions 524 to 768 of the family's 1533-position model. The record is from RNAcentral.